CGGGGAUUAGCGCAGUUGGUAGCGCGCACGGCUGGGGGUCGUGAGGUCACGAGUUCAAGUCUCGUAUCCCCGA
This 73-nucleotide transfer RNA is filed under the name Candidatus Magasanikbacteria bacterium CG_4_10_14_0_8_um_filter_42_12. RNAcentral's name for it is "tRNA-Pro". It matches the Rfam family "tRNA". From Rfam's summary of the family: Transfer RNA (tRNA) molecules are approximately 80 nucleotides in length. Their secondary structure includes four short double-helical elements and three loops (D, anti-codon, and T loops). Lineage: Bacteria; Candidatus Magasanikiibacteriota. The record is from RNAcentral. RNAcentral also lists the same sequence under 3 other names.